This 376-nucleotide ribosomal RNA is filed under the name uncultured bacterium. RNAcentral describes it as "bacterial SSU rRNA". It matches the Rfam family "Bacterial small subunit ribosomal RNA", at positions 524 to 898 of the family's 1533-position model. The record is from RNAcentral.
UACGUAGGGGGCAAGCGUUGUCCGGAAUGAUUGGGCGUAAAGGGCGCGUAGGCGGCCAACUAAGUCUGGAGUGAAAGUCCUGCUUUUAAGGUGGGAAUUGCUUUGGAAACUGGAUGGCUUGAGUGCAGGAGAGGUAAGCGGAAUUCCCGGUGUAGCGGUGAAAUGCGUAGAGAUCGGGGGGAACACCAGUGGCGAAGGCGGCUUACUGGACUGUAACUGACGCUGAGGCGCGAAAGUGUGGGGAGCAAACAGGAUUAGAUACCCUGGUAGUCCACACUGUAAACGAUGAAUGCUAGGUGUAGGGGGUAUCGACCCCUUCUGUGCCGGAGUAAACACAAUAAGCAUUCCGCCUGGGGAGUACGGCCGCAAGGUUGAA